CUCCCGAACGUAUUGACAACGCGGUUAAUUAUUUCUCGCGGUUUUUUUUCGCGCGUUGUAUCGCGUUCAUCGCGUAUUAAUUAAUUCCAAUUAACGGGAGUGCCGUGCAAAGUUUCGCGCGAUAGUAAUUGCCCGCGUUUUCGCGAGAGCUGUGUCAAGUGCCUACGGAACAGAUACCAUCCUCCCCCCGUCCACGACAGCUUCAAAAGAGGCAAAUAAUGGGAGUGUCGCCUCGAGAAAAUCCUGCGAAGCUGACAAGCCGAGCAGCCUGAGAGAAGGAGGAAGUCUAGGAGAGGCAUCGGGCAUAAGCGUGAUAACUUUAUGAAAAUAUCCACGCGGGAAGAAGCUUCGCAUCGAGGAAAUACUAGCUGACAUCCCGAGCAGUCUUAGAGGAGGUGUGGAGGCCUAGGAGAGGCAUCAGGCGCCGGCGGAGCAACAUGCGAAUCAUCGUAGCGACGUUGCAGAAUAACUCCGCUGUUGCGCAUCGGUCGGUGAGUGAUGAUUGAAAUUUCAUAAUUAAGGUAACGAAUCUAUGACAAUUAUAUCAAACAUAUUACCGAAACGUUUGUGUCAAGUA
Long non-coding RNA from Temnothorax curvispinosus, 577 nucleotides. RefSeq lists it as uncharacterized. Lineage: Eukaryota; Metazoa; Arthropoda; Insecta; Hymenoptera; Formicidae. The transcript is spliced from 4 exons. The record is from RefSeq and is a predicted model, not a curated record.